GAAACUCUGUGUGUUCGUGAAGCGAGUAAACCGGAGAAUUUCACCGGCGAACAGUUCAUAUAUCCAGUUUGUGCGUUCGAGUUUGAUCAACAAAUGGAGGCUGCAGUAGCGGCAGUAGUGCAACAUCCUGUCCCUGCACAAGUUGUUGGAAAUGCUUUUGUGCAGCAGUAUUAUCAUAUUCUGCACCAUUCUCCUGGACUGGUUUUUAGGUUUUAUCAGGAUAUAAGCAAACUUGGACGACCUGAAGAUGAUGGCUCAAUGAGCAUCACCACUACUAUGGAAGCAAUCAAUCAUAAGAUACUCUCACUAAACUAUGGGGACUUCAGAGCGGAGAUUAAGUCUGUGGAUUCGCAAGAAUCCUUUAAUGGGGGAGUGCAUGUCUUUGUGACUGGAUCUUUGACUGGGAAUGACACCUUGAUUCGGAAU
Molecule: unclassified non-coding RNA, 426 nt
Filed under: Hevea brasiliensis (rubber tree)
Lineage: Eukaryota; Viridiplantae; Streptophyta; Magnoliopsida; Malpighiales; Euphorbiaceae
Source: RNAcentral